Molecule: ribosomal RNA, 325 nt
Filed under: uncultured eukaryote
Lineage: Eukaryota
Description: partial 18S ribosomal RNA
Rfam family: Eukaryotic small subunit ribosomal RNA
Source: RNAcentral
CCCUUAGAUGUUCUGGGCCGCACGCGCGCUACACUGAUGCAUUCAACGAGCCUAUCCUUGACCGACAGGUCCGGGUAAUCUUUGAAUCUGCAUCGUGACGGGGAUAGAUUAUUGCAAUUAUUAAUCUUCAACGAGGAAUGCCUAGUAGGCGCAAGUCAUCAGCUUGCGUCGAUUACGUCCCUGCCCUUUGUACACACCGCCCGUCGCUCCUACCAAUUGGGUGUGCUGGUGAAAUGUUCGGAUCGGCCGUUUGUCGCGGUUUCCGCGGCUCGUGGCUGAGAAGUUCAUUAAACCCUCCCACCUAGAGGAAGGAGAAGUCGUAACA